AUACGUAGGGGGCGAGCGUUGUCCGGAAUGAUUGGGCGUAAAGGGCGCGUAGGCGGCUUUGCAAGUCAGUAGUGGAAGUCCAUUUUUCAAGGAUGGAAGUGCUACAGAAACUGCGGAGCUUGAGUGCAGGAGAGGUUAUCGGAAUUCCCGGUGUAGCGGUGAACUGCGUAGAGAUCGGGAGGAACACCAGUGGCGAAGGCGGGUAACUGGACUGCAACUGACGCUGAGGCGCGAAAGUGUGGGGAGCAAACAGGAUUAGAUACCCUGGUAGUCCACACUGUAAACGAUGAAUGCUAGGUGUAGGAGGUAUCGACCCCUUCUGUGCCGCAGUAAACACAGUAAGCAUUCCGCCUGGGGAGUACGGUCGCAAGAUUAAAACUCAAAUGAAUUGACGGGG
RNAcentral lists this ribosomal RNA (397 nucleotides) under uncultured bacterium. Its description in RNAcentral is "partial 16S ribosomal RNA". It matches the Rfam family "Bacterial small subunit ribosomal RNA", at positions 523 to 918 of the family's 1533-position model. The record is from RNAcentral.